GACGAACGCUGGCGGCGUGCUUAACACAUGCAAGUCGAACGGUAAGGCCCUUCGGGGUACACGAGUGGCGAACGGGUGAGUGACACGUGGGUGAUCUGCCCUGCACUUCGGGAUAAGCCUGGGAAACUGGGUCUAAUACCGGAUAGGACUCCGGACUGCAUGGUCUGGGGUGGAAAGCUUUUGCGGUGUGGGAUGGGCCCGCGGCCUAUCAGCUUGUUGGUGGGGUGAUGGCCUACCAAGGCGACGACGGGUAGCCGGCCUGAGAGGGUGACCGGCCACACUGGGACUGAGAUACGGCCCAGACUCCUACGGGAGGCAGCAGUGGGGAAUAUUGCACAAUGGGCGCAAGCCUGAUGCAGCGACGCCGCGUGAGGGAUGACGGCCUUCGGGUUGUAAACCUCUUUCAGCAUCGACGAAGCGAAAGUGACGGUACCUGCAGAAAAAGCACCGGCUAACUACGUGCCAGCAGCCGCCGCAG
RNAcentral lists this ribosomal RNA (478 nucleotides) under uncultured bacterium. RNAcentral's name for it is "partial 16S ribosomal RNA". It matches the Rfam family "Bacterial small subunit ribosomal RNA", at positions 28 to 523 of the family's 1533-position model. The record is from RNAcentral.